This is a long non-coding RNA of Etheostoma spectabile (orangethroat darter), 1376 nucleotides long. RefSeq lists it as uncharacterized. The transcript is spliced from 3 exons. Lineage: Eukaryota; Metazoa; Chordata; Actinopteri; Perciformes; Percidae. The record is from RefSeq and is a predicted model, not a curated record.
GUGAAAGAAGGAACGAGGGAAACAAAAAAAGCUAAACCCACAACUGCGAAGUUAAACUGUGUAUUAAGUUCGGAUAAUUCUGUAUAGUUACUGUUUAGUAAUUCAAUUACAAGCACGAAGGUUUGUAUUGUUUGUAACCCUGUAAAACGAGAAUGUGAGCCUUGUUUGGGGCCGUUUUCUAUUGGUUCUAAAACGCGGUAACUACGCCAUGGACUGUUGCUAUAGAAGCCCUAAUAGCUGGGAUGAGGAUAGGCUGUGUGUCCGUCGAAAACACAUUUUGCACCGAGUUUCUGAUGUGCUUUCGCUGCUGCUACCGCAGUAGAGUUGCUGGGAAUUCCCGCUUCACGCUGGAGGAGCCUGCCUGCCACACACGUGCACUGAUUGGACAUGGCUGGGACGAGCAUUUGGAAAACUGCAUGCUAACAGCUUUCUGAUUUUCGAAGGACCAGUCAACAGCUGCUCCUUUUGCAUGGAGCGUCACGCUGUCACAAGGGCCCACUGCUCCUCAAAGCCUGGAAAAUGAAGCUCCGAUCAAUUAUUUUCGAUGGACAUCUACUCACAUGUUUUAUUAGUCACUGUCUACCAUGUUUGUUCUCACCAUGCUUUCAGUGAAUGAAGCUACAAAACAAAACCAAGGUUAACUUUCUUAUGAUGGAAGUAUUCCGGACUCUUUGGUUUCAUCACGUGAAAGACUCACCGUGACAUUGUGAACUGUGAGAAGCUGAAGGUACAAAGAAUCUUUUCAGUGUAAGUAGUACCAUGUCCAAUCCCUUCACACACCUGCUUUACAGACUCUCAGCAGCAACUUUGAGUAAAGAAAGUCUGUAAGCUGCACUUAAGGCAAAUGGGAACCAGAAAUCAAGUGAGAAAAAGGAUCUGAUUGGAGAUAUAUGUUGUUUCUGCGGUGUCUUUUGAAAACAGACAUGAAUGACAAUUUUGCAUGUGAGCAGAAACAAUGUAGUGUGAAAUGCUAUUUACAGUUUCAAAUGGGCCCCUUUGUGGUGAUACUCUAGGAACGUGUAAAUCAAGAAGUUGCUGUUCAGGGCGUAACAUUAAACAGCUUCGCAAAGUUGGCUAAGAGAUUAAGCCUCAUACCAGGCAGCAUUUCUAAAGUGAACAAUCACAAACUGUUGUAUCUCUUUUGACUCAUCUCUACAUGGUGCAUUGACACACAAUAUACAAAAGUCUCAGGGGUGCACCGAACCGUUGCUUAUUUUCUUCAGUUUUGCUUCAAGCCAAACAGCUGCCCUGUUUCUUCAUCUCAAGCAAGUACGAACUUUCUUUGCUCUGUGCACGACAAAAAUAAAUUUAAACAUGCAAAGUUAAAAAAGAAAAGGAUUUUGUGUCUGAAAUAUCCUUAUAACCUUUAGAGUGAU